This is a long non-coding RNA of Carcharodon carcharias (great white shark), 1405 nucleotides long. RefSeq lists it as uncharacterized. The record is from RefSeq and is a predicted model, not a curated record. The transcript is spliced from 3 exons. Lineage: Eukaryota; Metazoa; Chordata; Chondrichthyes; Lamniformes; Lamnidae.
GAUCGCCUCCCCCCAUCGGCUGGGUGCCGCCUUCUACACAGGUGGGCGAAUUAAGGCCUGCCCAGCGUGACGCAUGGCUGGUGGUGCUCAGUGCUACCGGUGCAGGCGGGGGGAGGACGAAGAGUCGGGGCCUGUGCUCUUUCGCGAAUGCGCACGAACGAGUGCAGAAAUCUAGAUUGAAUGGCUGUGAAAACUUUUUCAUAAACGAAGUGAAAAUUUAUUUAAAGACGUCCCAGCUUAUGUGACAGUGUCAUACGAGCUGGGACAUGUUAGUGAACCUUAGAGAUAGCGAUGAGAUUUCUCAUAACAUCCAUCAUCUUCCUACUUGCAUCUAAUUCCUUUGUGCUCCGAUCGGUGCGUACGAGGUAUAAGCAACAGAUUUGACAGCUGGAAGGACUGCAGCAUCUAACGUGGCCGCUGACCUGACAACUUGCGAUGUGAACCCUUCUGUCAACGUACUGUUUUCCAAUCUCCACAUUUGAAGAUCUCACCUUUGCGCAUGAGCAGGAGGCCCAAGGUUCAUCAGGAACUGGAGUUCCCAACCUACAAACUAUUUGAGUUUCUUAAUGCCUCCUAACAGUGAGUUGCUAGGUACAGCGCGGUGUGAAUGAGCUUCGCAUUCAUGAUAAACUCAGUACUUGCAGAGGGCUUGUAUUUUUGAGAUGUCCCUUUUAACCCAAUAUGAAACUGAAGAACAUUCUGAAAAAAGGAGAAUAAUUGGAUUUCUUGGAUAUCCUUGUACCUCUGAGAAGUCACCAAAGCACAGAAUUCAUAUGAGGAGAAGCAAGCAACGCUCUCUACAAAAUGGCCAGUUUUCUAUUUGACAGUAAGAAGGAAAAUUGAACUCCAGCAGCUCUUGAGGAAGUGAUGUAUGACUGAGCUGAAAGGAACUGAAUGCUGAAAAACUGAUGUGCAUACCUCAGGCACGCAUAAGAGCUAAGAGUUUUUAACAGAGGAAGAGGCCGUAAACUGGGUGUUGCUGGCUGGGUGGUUGAAGAGGAACUCUGGAAAGCUAUGCCAUCAGGACUGAUGUGACCAGGGCGAGAGAGGAGUCGUAGACAUGCAUCUUGUUAGAGUUACCCGUAUCUGGGGAUCUCAGAUAAAAUACUACUGCUAGUGAAAGCAACUUGAAGGUUGAAUCGAUUGAGUGGGGAAAGUGAGUGAUCCUAUGUACCGGAGACCAAGUUAGGGAGCUUUGAAACUGCAUGUGAUGCCACCUGUGUGGAAAGUGUUGCGAGUGCUUGUAGUUUUUUAAGAUGUACCUUUGUUGUAUCGACUAUUUAAAGUGAAAUUCAUCUCAUUGAGUGAAAUAUCAUUUUAUAGUUAAAAAAUAUCAUAGUUAAUGCCUGCAUUAUUUUACGUGGAGUUUUGGUUUUACUGUUAAAGUGCAAGUUUUAACAAGUGA